AAUCUGAGUUGAUGGACGAUCCGUAAACGACGGUGGGAAGAAAAGCCUCCGCUGUCGUGGCGGUUCCCGAUAAUGGGAGGCGGCCGUAUCCUCCUGUUCCUCCCAUCUGGGUAUUGUAGAUAUUCGAGUUUGCUUCAAUGGGGUUCAGUAUUAUUUCCCUGCAAAAAUGGAAAGAGAAGUACGUAAAAUGCACACUCGGAUACAAAACAAAUAAAAAAAUUCUAUAAGACACAGAACGAGAUGAUACACACCUGUUCGCUAAGAGUUGCGGAGGAAAGAUACUGUAUUGAUGCCGGGCUUCAACAGCCAUGAUUAUGGAAACGAAAGGGUUUAUUUCUUUUGGAUUGGUUUUGCUUCUUGCUUUGUUUCUUCUGGUUCUUGGCUUUGGCUUUG
RNAcentral lists this long non-coding RNA (393 nucleotides) under Citrus maxima (pomelo). Its description in RNAcentral is "long non-coding RNA (CMAX_LNC002295)". Lineage: Eukaryota; Viridiplantae; Streptophyta; Magnoliopsida; Sapindales; Rutaceae. The record is from RNAcentral.